RNAcentral lists this ribosomal RNA (498 nucleotides) under uncultured bacterium. RNAcentral describes it as "bacterial SSU rRNA". It matches the Rfam family "Bacterial small subunit ribosomal RNA", at positions 28 to 573 of the family's 1533-position model. The record is from RNAcentral.
AACGAACGCUGGCGGCAUGCCUAACACAUGCAAGUCGAACGAGACCAUCGGGUCUAGUGGCGCACGGGUGCGUAACGCGUGGGAAUCUGCCCUCAGGUACGGAAUAACUCAGGGAAACUUGAGCUAAUACCGUAUAAUGACUUCGGUCCAAAGAUUUAUCGCCUGGGGAUGAGCCCGCGUCGGAUUAGCUAGUUGGUGGGGUAAAGGCCCACCAAGGCGACGAUCCGUAGCUGGUCUGAGAGGAUGAUCAGCCACACUGGGACUGAGACACGGCCCAGACUCCUACGGGAGGCAGCAGUGGGGAAUAUUGGACAAUGGGCGCAAGCCUGAUCCAGCAAUGCCGCGUGAGUGAUGAAGGCCCUAGGGUUGUAAAGCCCUUUUACCCGGGAUGAUAAUGACAGUACCGGGAGAAUAAGCCCCGGCUAACUCCGUGCCAGCAGCCGCGGUAAUACGAGGGGGCUAGCGUUGUUCGGAACUACUGGGCGUAAAGCGCACGUA